UGACCCGCUGUCAGAGCAUAUUAAAAACUGCUCGUCCACUUGUGCCUUCCUGAACGAGCUACCAGGAGAAAAUCAAAUCCGCGAAGCCAGAUAUGCGGCGAUACCACCAGAGCCCGCCGAAGAAGUAAUGGAAAUAUUUCGUUUGCCCGGAGGGAAAACACUAAGGCGGCGGUUUUCAACUACAAUGUCAAUGGAUGUUAUUGCUAGCAUAGCAGGAAGUCAACCAGGAGCAACCAGAGAAUUCAACAUCCACUUCCCUGGAUCGAAAAAUUCUUUUUCGGCUUCCACUCUUACGGGC
This is a long non-coding RNA of Mya arenaria, 298 nucleotides long. RefSeq lists it as uncharacterized. The transcript is spliced from 3 exons. The record is from RefSeq and is a predicted model, not a curated record. Lineage: Eukaryota; Metazoa; Mollusca; Bivalvia; Myida; Myidae.